This 450-nucleotide ribosomal RNA is filed under the name uncultured Diversispora. RNAcentral's name for it is "SSU rRNA". It matches the Rfam family "Eukaryotic small subunit ribosomal RNA", at positions 569 to 1022 of the family's 1831-position model. The record is from RNAcentral. Lineage: Eukaryota; Fungi; Glomeromycota; Glomeromycetes; Diversisporales; Diversisporaceae.
AGCAGCCGCGGUAAUUCCAGCUCCAAUAGCGUAUAUUAAAGUUGUUGCAGUUAAAAAGCUCGUAGUUGAACUUCGGGGUCUACCCAUUGGUCAGGCUUAAUUGUCUGCACUGGCGAGAUGGAUCUCUACCUUCUGAGGAACUUUCAUGCCAUUUAUUUGGUGUGAUGGGAAAUCAGGACUGUUACUUUGAAAAAUUAGAGUGUUUAAAGCAGACUAUCGUCUGAAUACAUUAGCAUGGAAUAAUGAAAUAGGACGGACUGAUUCUAUUUCGUUGGUUUCUAGGAUCACCGUAAUGAUUAAUAGGGAUAGUUGGGGGCAUUAGUAUUCAAUUGUCAGAGGUGAAAUUCUUGGAUUUAUUGAAGACUAACUACUGCGAAAGCAUUUGCCAAGGAUGUUUUCAUUAAUCAAGAACGAAAGUUAGGGGAUCGAAGACGAUCAGAUACCGUCGUA